RNAcentral lists this ribosomal RNA (382 nucleotides) under uncultured microorganism. RNAcentral's name for it is "bacterial SSU rRNA". It matches the Rfam family "Bacterial small subunit ribosomal RNA", at positions 346 to 716 of the family's 1533-position model. The record is from RNAcentral.
GCGCAGCAGUCGAGAAUCUUCCACAAUGGACGAAAGUCUGAUGGAGCGACGCCGCGUGCGGGAUGAAGGCCUUAUGGGUUGUAAACCGCUGUCAGGGGGAAGGAACAUCGGAAUGAACAAAUACUCAUUCCGACUGACGUUACCCCCACGAGGAAGCUCCGGCCAACUCCGUGCCAGCAGCCGCGGUAAUACGGGGGAGGCAAGCGUUGUCCGGAAUUAUUGGGCGUAAAGGCGUGUAGGCGGCGAGGUAAGUCGAAUGUGAAAUCUCACGGCUCAACCGUGAAACUGCGUUCGAAAACUACCCUGCUUGAGUACGGAGGAGGUGUACGGAAUUCCUGGUGUAGCGGUGGAAUGCGUAGAUAUCAGGAAGAACACCGGUGGC